Molecule: ribosomal RNA, 798 nt
Filed under: Yoonia maricola
Lineage: Bacteria; Pseudomonadati; Pseudomonadota; Alphaproteobacteria; Rhodobacterales; Paracoccaceae
Description: bacterial SSU rRNA
Rfam family: Bacterial small subunit ribosomal RNA
Source: RNAcentral
GGCUCAGAACGAACGCUGGCGGCAGGCCUAACACAUGCAAGUCGAGCGCACUCUUCGGAGUGAGCGGCGGACGGGUUAGUAACGCGUGGGAAUAUACCCUUCACUACGGAAUAGCCUCGGGAAACUGAGAGUAAUACCGUAUACGCCCUUCGGGGGAAAGAUUUAUCGGUGAUGGAUUAGCCCGCGUCUGAUUAGAUAGUUGGUGGGGUAACGGCCUACCAAGUCUACGAUCAGUAGCUGGUUUGAGAGGAUGAUCAGCAACACUGGGACUGAGACACGGCCCAGACUCCUACGGGAGGCAGCAGUGGGGAAUCUUAGACAAUGGGCGAAAGCCUGAUCUAGCCAUGCCGCGUGAGUGACGAAGGCCUUAGGGUCGUAAAGCUCUUUCGCCAGGGAUGAUAAUGACAGUACCUGGUAAAGAAACCCCGGCUAACUCCGUGCCAGCAGCCGCGGUAAUACGGAGGGGGUUAGCGUUGUUCGGAAUUACUGGGCGUAAAGCGUACGUAGGCGGAUUGGAAAGUAUGGGGUGAAAUCCCGGGGCUCAACCCCGGAACUGCCCUGUAAACUAUCAGUCUAGAGUUCGAGAGAGGUGAGUGGAAUUCCAAGUGUAGAGGUGAAAUUCGUAGAUAUUUGGAGGAACACCAGUGGCGAAGGCGGCUCACUGGCUCGAUACUGACGCUGAGGUACGAAAGUGUGGGGAGCAAACAGGAUUAGAUACCCUGGUAGUCCACACCGUAAACGAUGAAUGCCAGACGUCGGGGGGCUUGCCCUUCGGUGUCACACCUAACGGAUUAAGCA